GUUCUGUGGUUGGUGAUCCCUCCCUUGUGGAGUCUUCCUCUGAGUGUAGAUCUUCAGAGACAGCUCCCUCUGUUGGCCCUGCAGAGUACCCAAGUUUGUCUCCCAGCUUGGUAAAGGAGGGACCUUUGAUGCCAGGGGCCCCUCAAGAGAGAAAAGGCAUAUAAAAAGGAAGCUGAAAUUCCUCAAGGAUAACGUUCUACAUGCUAGCAGGGAGGCAUCCCUACCAUGAGAACAUUCCGAAAAUAACUCACAGAAAUGCAUUUCUACCAGGGCUGAUGUGAAUCAGCAUUCAUUUUUGGAUCUUUGCUAUUGAUGGACGGUAUUUAAGUUAGGCAUCACUAUAAAUCAAGAUGUCUUGUCCCAGUGUCCUCUUCUACUCUUCGUGUGUUACAACUUACCUGAAUGAUUGGAUGCCAUAUUGAACUGUGAUAUUACCCUACAGUCUACGUCUGACUUUCAGAGGAUCUUGGAUGGUACAACUACAUCACUUUAAUCCACAGUUCCAAAUCCAGUCUCUGAGUUAUGAUUAUGAGGCUCUCAGCUCUAGGUUCAGCUCUAACUAAAAUUUUCAAGAAAUCACAGGACUAUUGUGUUGAAAAGCCCUCUCAGAAAUUAAAGGAAAACAUACAGCUGUUGAGCUGAUGCCCUGGAAAUGCACCACGUAGCCCUCCCUGCAAGAAAUGUUAGCUCAAACUCACAAGCGUACUCCAAUUACUCUUUGUUUGCUGGUGACCUCUGUCUUUUGAGCUUAACCCGCAGUUGCAAAAGCCCAAAGGAGUUGUGUAUGGAGUCUAAAUGCUAGCAUACCUCUCCAUCCUAUCUCAACUAGAACAGUGUUCACCUUUACUACGUUAUGAAGGUGAAAACUAAGGGCUUUUGGAAAAACAAAAGUAUUCAAGUAGGAUUUUGAAUGUGAACAGAAAGAGCUACUGGGAAAGAUUUCAUAGGUGCCAUGUGUAUGAAUGAGAACAAGAGCAUCAGUUAACAAGAAGAACAUGCAAAGUGAGAGAUGUCAUCAGGCACCAAAUCAGUUAAUUAAGUCCGGAAAUGAAGCUUAGAUAUUUCUUCUGUGGAUUGCCUGUAUUCCUUUAUUCAUUGUUUUGAGCAGACUACAAGAUCUUCAUUCUACUUUGGAAUUCUGUGGGGACAGUUCUUAUGGAUUUUGACAGUAAGCAGCACAGCACUGUGGGGCAUUUGAGGUGAAGUCAUUCUUAUUGAAAGAGCCAGCAUAAUUUCUCUGCACCAUUUAAAUCCAAACAAAUCCUAUUUUAAGCACUUUGGAAUGACUUGAGUAAUGCA
This is a long non-coding RNA of Lagopus leucura (white-tailed ptarmigan), 1299 nucleotides long. RefSeq lists it as uncharacterized. Lineage: Eukaryota; Metazoa; Chordata; Aves; Galliformes; Phasianidae. The transcript has 6 exons. The record is from RefSeq and is a predicted model, not a curated record.